AUUGAACGCUGGCGGCAUGCCUUACACAUGCAAGUCGAACGGCAGCACAGGUGCUUGCACCUGGUGGCGAGUGGCGAACGGGUGAGUAAUACAUCGGAACAUGUCCUGUAGUGGGGGAUAGCCCGGCGAAAGCCGGAUUAAUACCGCAUACGAUCUACGGAUGAAAGCGGGGGACCUUCGGGCCUCGCGCUAUAGGGUUGGCCGAUGGCUGAUUAGCUAGUUGGUGGGGUAAAGGCCUACCAAGGCGACGAUCAGUAGCUGGUCUGAGAGGACGACCAGCCAACCUGGGACUGAGACACGGCCCAGACUCCUACGGGAGGCAGCAGUGGGGAAUUUUGGACAAUGGGCGAAAGCCUGAUCCAGCAAUGCCGCGUGUGUGAAGAAGGCCUUCGGGUUGUAAAGCACUUUUGUCCGGAAAGAAAUCCUUGGCCCUAAUACGGUCGGGGGAUGACGGUACCGGAAGAAUAAGCACCGGCUAACUACGUG
This 486-nucleotide ribosomal RNA is filed under the name uncultured bacterium. RNAcentral describes it as "partial 16S ribosomal RNA". It matches the Rfam family "Bacterial small subunit ribosomal RNA", at positions 30 to 507 of the family's 1533-position model. The record is from RNAcentral.